AGUACUGGCUUCAACUUACCACUCUCAAAAUAGGGGUUCAGUUUCUCUAAAAUAGCCCCAUCAGUACUUAGAAUGAACAAUAUAGCUGGAGGAAAUCCAGGUGGUACUAUGGUCACAACUUUGCCUCCUUCUUUCAAAGCCUUGAAGGCCUGUUCAGUUUGCCCUGUUUGAGUUUAGGAAAAGAAAAGUUAGUGUUCCACAGGACACAUGAUCAACCUCAUGAACUUCUGAUAAAAGAGUAGGUUCAAAAAUCUGACCUACUGUAUCAUACACCACAUCAAACUUUUCAGGCAGGUCUUCAAAAUUCUCUUUAGUAUAAUCAAUUGGCAAGUCAGCCCCCAAAUUCCUCAAUAACUCCAGUUUCCUAGUGCUACCUGUUGCUCCUACCUUGGAUGCUCCAUAUACAUGCUUGGCAAGCUGUGUCAAUUAAGCAUUAUUGAUUAUAAUCACUUUCCAUGAAAUAUUGAUACGGAAGUUGAGACCACAGGAAGAAAAUUACUGUUUUCUCUAUUCAAUUCGUAGAAUUCGAAGUUACUGAAUACGUAAAGUGUGAUGUUUAUAGUUCAUAAUGUUGCAUGUAAACGGGAAAUGUAACUCAAAUAACGACUCUAAUAUAAUGCGACUCUAAUAACGACUAGAAACAGCAUGUCUAAUUUCAGUUCAUGCGGAAUGAAUUUAACUAAUCAUAAUGAAACAGAAAAGAAGAGGUCAAGUAUCAGUACAAGAAGAUCUUAAUAGAUUCUAAAAAAGCACAUUGAUUAAUGAAUCAAUAAGAUUGCAGGACGUCUUACUCUACCUGAAUAACAUGGGUUCCAACCCCACCAGCACCUCCAAGCACAAGGAUAGAUUUCCCAGCAGAAAACCCAGUUCGUUCAAGGCCUUCAUAAGCUGUCUCAAGUGUUAAAGGAAGGCUAGCAGCCUCAGCAAAGCUCAGAUUCUGUGGCUUGUGAGCCAAUAGUAUCUCUUCUGCAGUAGUGUACUCAGCCAAAGAACCACUCACCUUCGGAUAUUCCAA
This 1015-nucleotide long non-coding RNA is filed under the name Phaseolus vulgaris (common bean). RNAcentral describes it as "long non-coding RNA (PVUL_LNC001686)". The record is from RNAcentral. Lineage: Eukaryota; Viridiplantae; Streptophyta; Magnoliopsida; Fabales; Fabaceae.